GAUGAACGCUGGCGGCGUGCCUAAUACAUGCAAGUCGAGCGAACGGACGAGAAGCUUGCUUCUCUGAUGUUAGCGGCGGACGGGUGAGUAACACGUGGAUAACCUACCUAUAAGACUGGGAUAACUUCGGGAAACCGGAGCUAAUACCGGAUAAUAUUUUGAACCGCAUGGUUCAAAAGUGAAAGACGGUCUUGCUGUCACUUAUAGAUGGAUCCGCGCUGCAUUAGCUAGUUGGUAAGGUAACGGCUUACCAAGGCAACGAUGCAUAGCCGACCUGAGAGGGUGAUCGGCCACACUGGAGCUGAGACACGGUCCAGACUCCUACGGGAGGCAGCAGUAGGGAAUCUGCGGCAAUGGGCGAAAGCCUGACGGAGCAACGCCGCGUGAGUGAUGAAGGUCUUCGGAUCGUAAAACUCUGUUAUUAGGGAAGAACAGAUGUGUAAGUAACUGUGCACAUCUUGACGGUACCUAAGCAGAAAGCCACGGCUAACUACGG
This 496-nucleotide ribosomal RNA is filed under the name uncultured bacterium. Its description in RNAcentral is "partial 16S ribosomal RNA". It matches the Rfam family "Bacterial small subunit ribosomal RNA", at positions 28 to 506 of the family's 1533-position model. The record is from RNAcentral.